This 400-nucleotide ribosomal RNA is filed under the name uncultured bacterium. RNAcentral's name for it is "bacterial SSU rRNA". It matches the Rfam family "Bacterial small subunit ribosomal RNA", at positions 355 to 746 of the family's 1533-position model. The record is from RNAcentral.
UAGGGAAUAUUGCGCAAUGGACGAAAGUCUGACGCAGCGACGCCGCGUGGGUGAUGAAGGCCUUCGGGUCGUAAAGCCCUGUCGAAAGGGAAGAAAAACUAUUUGGCUAAUAUCCAAGUAGCUUGACGGUACCUUUAGAGGAAGCACCGGCUAACUACGUGCCAGCAGCCGCGGUAAUACGUAGGGUGCAAGCGUUGUUCGGAAUCAUUGGGCGUAAAGCGCGUGUAGGCGGUCAGUUAAGUUGGGUGUGAAAUCCCUGGGCUCAACCGAGGAAGGGCAUCCAAAACUAGCUGGCUGGAAGAUGGUAGAGGAAGGUGGAAUUCCAAGUGUAGAGGUGAAAUUCGUAGAUAUUUGGAGGAAUACCGGUGGCGAAGGCGGCCUUCUGGACCAUUCUUGACGC